Molecule: long non-coding RNA, 461 nt
Organism: Heterocephalus glaber (naked mole-rat)
Lineage: Eukaryota; Metazoa; Chordata; Mammalia; Rodentia; Bathyergidae
Source: Ensembl
GAACUUCUCAUCUUCCAAAAUCAAACUCUGCACCAAGUAAAUAAUCACUCUCCACCUUCCCCAUCUGCUGGCAGCCGCCGUUCUUACUGUGUGUCCCUAUGACUUCAAGUAUCCUAGGUACCUUAUGGUCUUGCUCUGUUGCUCAGGCUGGCCUUGAACUCGUGCUCCAAUGAUCCUCUUGCUUCAGCCUCCCAAGUAGCUGAAAAUAGAGCCUCUGGAAUGAUGGAAUUACAAGCAUGCGCCACCAUGCCCAGCUCAGAGUGCAUUGUACAAAAGAAUAUACUGGGCAGAGACCCAGUCUCAUAAAUAUUUCAUUCCUCCAUCCCACCUAGAAGAGUUGAAGCCAGCCUGGCUUCAAGAACCUGCUGGAGAAGAUCUGCAAGUGCUGGAGCUACUGGGUACAAGGGAACCCUUUCGGCACCUUGGUCUAAGCUUGUGCAGGAAGAAAGAAAGAACGGGAC